GGUGGGUGCUCGAUGACGGCGGUGGAGUGCCGAUGUUGGAGGUGGUGGGUGCUCGAUGAUGGUGGUGGAGUGUCGUUGUCGGAGGUGGUGGGUGCUCGAUGGCAGGUGGUGGGUGCUCGAUGUCGGAGGUGGUGGGUGCUCGAUUUGAUUUUGGUGACUGUGGGGUUGAUAUGUUUUGGAUUGGAUGGCGAUGAUGCAAAAAAAAAA
This is a long non-coding RNA of Helianthus annuus (common sunflower), 207 nucleotides long. RefSeq lists it as uncharacterized. The record is from RefSeq and is a predicted model, not a curated record. NCBI's taxonomy places the organism in Eukaryota, Viridiplantae, Streptophyta, Magnoliopsida, Asterales, Asteraceae. The transcript is spliced from 2 exons.